CCCAGCACCCCAGGGGCUCAACAUGGCUGCCAUGCUCCGGCUCGGCCGGACGUCUGAUCACUCACCGGGCUGAACUCUGACACGUCGUCUCCUGUGGGAGAAAACAAGCACAACAUUUAAACUAGUAACGUUUUCUGUCUGCUUGACAAACUGACAGACUGUGAACGCAACAUUAAAAUAGUGAACUUGUGAUCAGACAGCAGCUUAUUUCCACUUCCAGCAGCUACAGAGCAACACAAUACUUGUGGAGUCGUGUUUGUGUCACCUGAUGAAUUUCGCUCGGGGAGCUAACAGAGACUUCCCCGCCCUCGUUGGCGACGCUGACCUCAUCUCCACUGCUGGAUGUCCUGUGGCGGCGGGACGGAGGGCGACGCCGGAUGGAGUGGCGGGCUCGGCUCUGGAGAAGGACCAAUGGGGGCAGAGACAGACAGCAUCGUGUGGUGGAGCCGAGCACUUGAAUCUUCCUGCAAGUUCAGCCACAGAGCGGCGGGGCGGAGCCUCCCCCUGAGGGCGGGAAAAGGAUAGAAGCGCCAAAGUGUUUUUCCUGAGGCGUCCAUCUUGGUUUUCUGACGCCGUCAACUUGGGUGUGACAUCAAUCCCAGGUCCGACUUCAAAGGUGGUCUCAUCAGCAGCUCUGUUUGGAUGAAGAGGAACCUGCAGCCGGUUGUUGCUGCAGGAUGUCUCCUGCGCUCUAAAGGGAAGUUGAGUCACUCGAGCGGAGAUGUUUUUUUCUCUCAUUUCUCCUUUUGUGUUUCUUCACUUCUUCUGCGUGUUGACCAACUAACUGCUGGUUGCAUAAGGAGACAGUCUGAAACUAACAGUUCUGGUGAAAUUCAAGGCAGGAGCACUGGGGAAACACGCUGCCACAAAAACGUUUUGAAUGGAGGACGCCUGUUUUCUCUUGAAGGAGGCAAACAGUUUUUAAAGAUUCUUAAUGAUGAAACAGUCAAAGAAAAUGAUGAAAUCAUCUUCUCUCCUUUCAGGUGUGUCUCAGCUUAUCUGCUGACCAAUCUGCUGAUCAGUGUUGGUGGAUUGUCAAGCAGCACAGGAUGUGGUGGGAGGGGAGGAGGAGUGAGGCACACAGGAAGAAACGCUGUGUUAUGAAACCUUAUAAGUACAUCAGUAUCUUGGAAAGCGGCCAUGCACGAGAAGAUACCCAAAGCUGCCUGAGCGACAGCGCUGCCUCUGGCUGGUCGCAGCGCCCCCUGCAGGCGGGAGGUUGGACGCCGCCUUCACAGAGUGGAAGUCUUCAGAGGGAAAAGGUGAGGAGGAGACUGUGAAGUGUGAUCUGGACACAGGGAGGAAGGAGGAGAAGGGGAGAGCUGCGCAGGACAUUGGGAACCCUGGCAGAGUUUUGAGAUGCUCGUCAAUCGAAGGAUUACACGAUCUGAUGAUUUUACAGAGGGGCCAGAGGUCGCUCACUCGCCGGUCCAUCUGCCAUGCUGCGUCUGGAGGGAACCAAUUAACAGAGAGAGAUGCCAAGAAAAGAGGACCAAUCAGAGGAGGGGAUGGAGACAUUGGGCGGGCCACAGACUUACACUGCAGCGUCCCAGGAGACAGGAUGUCCUCGUCCAUGUCGUCGAGGUCAUCGGAGAGGAGGAGGUGCUGAGGGGUCGGAGGUCGCAGGCCGAGGAAGGACGGGUCCAGGUUGAGGGCGACGGCCAGCGCUCCCAGGCCCGGGUUAUUGACCACACAGAACCCCGUCAGAGACUCGAUCUGCUGCCAGCGGUGCAGCUUCUCCCGCAGGGCGGCCGUCACCUCGGCCAGGGCC
Micropterus dolomieu (smallmouth bass) is the source of this 1771-nucleotide long non-coding RNA. RefSeq lists it as uncharacterized. The transcript is spliced from 10 exons. Lineage: Eukaryota; Metazoa; Chordata; Actinopteri; Centrarchiformes; Centrarchidae. The record is from RefSeq and is a predicted model, not a curated record.